GGAAGGAUCAUUAUUGAAUGGGCUAAAAGGCCUUAUUCUUAUCCUACACCUUUGUGAACUUGUUGUUGGUCGCUUUGGUGGGGCCGUCGUUUGCGGCGCUCCUUAGGGAAGAGUCCCCACCAGAGGUUUAUCUGUCAAACGUUUUUACUUUGGUUAGAAAGUGUCUAUGCAAUGAAUAAAACUUUUAGCAACGGAUCUCUUGGCUCUCGCAUCGAUGAAGAACGCAGCGAAAUGCGAUACGUAGUGUGAAUUGCAGAAUCAGUGAAUCAUCGAAUCUUUGAACGCACAUUGCACCCAUCGGUAUUCCGGUGGGUAUGCCUGUUUGAGUGUCAUGAACAACUCACACCAUAUACUUUAUUAUGUGGAGUGGACUUGAGCCUGCGUUGGCUGGCUCGAAAUGGAUGGUGGUGGAAGACCUGCCGGUUUAACGUCAUAUUUAUUUUCGCUAGACUAGGUAGAGUUCGGAGCCCAACUAACUUUACUCGAUCUUGGCCUCAAAUCAGGUAGGAGUACCCGCUGAACUUAAGCAUAUCAAUAAGCGGAGGAAAAGAAAAUAACAAUGAUUCCCCUAGUAACGGCGAGUGAAGCGGGAAAAGCUCAAAUUUGAAAUCUGGCGCUUCUGGCGUCCGAGUUGUAAUUUCAAGAGGCGUUUUCAGUGCCUACCUGGGUAUAAAUCCUUUGGAACAGGGUAUCAUAGAGGGUGAGAAUCCCGUCUUUGACCUGGAGCUAGGUGCUAUGUGAUGCGUCCUCGAAGAGUCGAGUUGUUUGGGAAUGCAGCUCAAAAUGGGUGGUAAAUUCCAUCUAAAGCUAAAUAUUGGCGAGAGACCGAUAGCGAACAAGUACCGUGAGGGAAAGAUGAAAAGAACUUUGAAAAGAGAGUGAAAAAGUACGUGAAAUUGCUAAAAGGGAAACGCUUGAGACCAGUCUUGCCUGCCGGUAAUCAGCCUUGCUUCUGCAUGGUGCACUUGCUGGUUGGCAGGCCAACAUCAGUUUCUCCUGCUGGAUAAUAGCGAAAGGAAUGUAGCUCCUUGUGAGUGUUAUAGCCUUUCGCCUGAUACAGUGGGGGGGACUGAGGGCUGCAGCGCGCCGUAAGGCGGUCUUUUGGGACCUUCGCGCUAAGGAUGUUGGCAUAAUGGUCUUAAACGACCCGUCUUGAAACACGGACCAAGGAGUCUAACAUAUUUGCGAGUGUUUGGGUGGCAAACUCGAGCGCGUAAUGAAAGUGAAUGCAGGUGGGACCCGUAAGGGGCACCAUCGACCGAUCUUGAUCUUCUGGGAUAGAUUUGAGUAGGAGCAAACAUGUUGGGACCCGAAAGAUGGUGAACUAUGCCUGAAUAGGGCGAAGCCAGAGGAAACUCUGGUGGAGGCUCGUAGCGAUUCUGACGUGCAAAUCGAUCGUCAAAUUUGGGUAUAGGGGCGAAAGACUAAUCGAACCAUCUAGUAGCUGGUUCCUGC
This 1455-nucleotide unclassified non-coding RNA is filed under the name uncultured fungus. Its description in RNAcentral is "sequence contains 18S rRNA gene, ITS1, 5.8S rRNA gene, ITS2, 28S rRNA gene". The stretch from base 490 to 1455 matches the Rfam family "Eukaryotic large subunit ribosomal RNA", at positions 1 to 961 of the family's 3401-position model. The record is from RNAcentral. Lineage: Eukaryota; Fungi.